GCGACCGAGACGGCGUCCACGCGUGGCGGGCGGAGGCGUUUGAGGAGGAGGCGGAGCUUCUGAGCCAGGAGGCGGAGUUGCAGAGCGGGGAGCCUUCUGCGCGCCUGCGGCGAACGCAACAGGUGUCGAGCCUUGGGGACGAGCUGGCGGGCGAGGAGGCGGAGUUACAGCGGGCCGGCGCCGAAGCUUACUUCCUGGAGGGGGCG
Hippocampus comes (tiger tail seahorse) is the source of this 206-nucleotide long non-coding RNA. RefSeq lists it as uncharacterized. The record is from RefSeq and is a predicted model, not a curated record. The transcript is spliced from 3 exons. Lineage: Eukaryota; Metazoa; Chordata; Actinopteri; Syngnathiformes; Syngnathidae.